Molecule: long non-coding RNA, 592 nt
Organism: Canis lupus familiaris (dog)
Lineage: Eukaryota; Metazoa; Chordata; Mammalia; Carnivora; Canidae
Exons: 3
Source: RefSeq, a predicted model, not a curated record
GAAAUAGCAGGACAGGUGUGUGGAAACCUUUGGAUUGAUGGAUAGGCCUCUUACUAGCUGCCAUUCGGAAGGAUUAGUGCCACUGUCCUUCAGGCUGAGCAAGAUGGAUCAUUUCAGUGUCACUCGCCAGUCAGUCAAAUUGUGACAAAAGGCAGUCUCUUCCCAUCAGGAUCUGGAGGUGCCGAAGAGGCAGGCCGUCAGCAGGGACUCUCUUUGCAGCACAUAAAGCCCAGGUCCUGAGAGGAAGGAGUGGGAAGGAGCAGGAAAUUGGACUUAAGUCGCCUCCAAAUCAACACAGAGUUCAAUCCUGCACAUUUUAAGCAUUUAUGGCACCAGCAGUGAGAAAAGAAAGGAAGAUGUAUUCUGAACAAGACCAAGAAAAACGAAGGGUGAAGGAGAAGAAGUAGUGCUCUUUCAUUGCAUGAUACAAGAGAAUAAGCACCACAUUGCUAAAACCUGCUGUAUCACAUGCACACACACAAAAUCUCCAUAUUAGGGCAAAGACUUAAUAUUUCUGAAACCACAUAAGUUCUCAAUUUUUUAAACUGUAUCACAUAGGAAGAUGCUCGUAACAAUCAUGAGAAGAUGGAAU